This 26-nucleotide non-coding RNA is filed under the name Mus musculus (house mouse). The record is from RNAcentral. Lineage: Eukaryota; Metazoa; Chordata; Mammalia; Rodentia; Muridae.
UGGUGUUCCUCUUUCCCCUGUGACCA